AACAAACGCUGGCGGCGUGCCUAACACAUGCAAGUCGUACGAGAAAGGGUCCUUCGGGACCUGAGUAAAGUGGCGCACGGGUGAGUAGCGCGUGGAUAAUCUACCCUUCAGUUGGGAACAACUCAUCGAAAGGUGGGCUAAUACCGAAUAAUACUGCUCGACCUUGGUCGAGCAGCCAAAGAGAGCCUCUGCUUGCAAGCCCUCACUGAAGGAUGAGUUCGCGUACCAUUAGCUUGUUGGUAGGGUAAUGGCCUACCAAGGCGACGAUGGUUAGCUGGUCUGAGAGGAUGAUCAGCCACACUGGAACUGAGACACGGUCCAGACUCCUACGGGAGGCAGCAGUGAGGAAUCUUAGACAAUGGGCGCAAGCCUGAGUCUAGCCAUGCCGCGUGAGCGAUGAAGGCCUUAGGGUGUAAAGCUCUUUCAGUGGGAAGAUAAUGACUGUACCCACAGAAGAAGCCCCGGCUAACUCCGUGCCAG
Molecule: ribosomal RNA, 480 nt
Filed under: uncultured bacterium
Lineage: Bacteria
Description: bacterial SSU rRNA
Rfam family: Bacterial small subunit ribosomal RNA
Source: RNAcentral